AGAGUUUGAUCCUGGCUCAGAUUGAACGCUGGCGGCAUGCUUUACACAUGCAAGUCGAACGGGGUGAGGGGGCAACCUCUCACUCAGUGGCGGACGGGUGAGUAAUGCAUCGGAACGUAUCCCGUAGUGGGGGACAACCCAGCGAAAGCUGGGCUAAUACCGCAUACGCUCUACGGAGGAAAGCGGGGGACCUGAGAGGGCCUCGCGCUAGGGGGGCGGCCGAUGUCCGAUUAGCUAGUUGGUGGGGUAAUGGCCCACCAAGGCGACGAUCGGUAGCUGGUCUGAGAGGAUGAUCAGCCACACUGGGACUGAGACACGGCCCAGACUCCUACGGGAGGCAGCAGUGGGGAAUUUUGGACAAUGGGGGCAACCCUGAUCCAGCCAUGCCGCGUGCGGGAAGAAGGCCUUCGGGUUGUAAACCGCUUUUAGCCGGGAAGAAAAGGCACGGGACAAUACCCCGUGUUCUUGACGGUACCGGCGGAAUAAGCACCGGCUAACUACGUGCCAGCAGCCGCGGUAAUACGUAGGGUGCGAGCGUUAAUCGGAAUUA
This 550-nucleotide ribosomal RNA is filed under the name uncultured bacterium. RNAcentral describes it as "bacterial SSU rRNA". It matches the Rfam family "Bacterial small subunit ribosomal RNA", at positions 8 to 553 of the family's 1533-position model. The record is from RNAcentral.